Molecule: ribosomal RNA, 761 nt
Filed under: uncultured bacterium
Lineage: Bacteria
Description: bacterial SSU rRNA
Rfam family: Bacterial small subunit ribosomal RNA
Source: RNAcentral
UCGAACGCGAACAGGGCUUCGGCCCUUAGUAGAGUGGCGUCCGGGUGAGUAACACGUAGGUAAUCUACCUUCGGGUGGGGAAUAACGCCUCGAAAGAGGCGCUAAUACCGCAUAAUGCAGCGGCAGCUAAUGCUGAAUAGUUGUUAAAGCGGGGGACCAAGCAAUUGGCCUCGUGCCUGAAGAGGAGCCUGCGGCAGAUUAGCUAGUUGGUGAGGUAACGGCUCACCAAGGCUGCGAUCUGUAGCUGGUCUGAGAGGACGGCCAGCCACACUGGCACUGACACACGGGCCAGACUCCUACGGGAGGCAGCAGUGGGGAAUUUUGGGCAAUGGGCGAAAGCCUGACCCAGCAACGCCGCGUGAGGGAGGAAAUCCUUCGGGAUGUAAACCUCACAAGCAAGGGAAGAGCGCAUGAAGGAGAACACGCUUCAUGCUCGACGGUACCUUGCGUAAGCCACGGCUAACUACGUGCCAGCAGCCGCGGUAAUACGUAGGUGGCAAGCGUUGUUCGGAAUUAUUGGGCGUAAAGGGCGCGUAGGCGGCCUUGUAAGUCAGUUGUGAAAGCCCGGGGCUCACCCCGGAGGGUCGACUGAUACUGCGAGGCUAGAGUACGGAAGAGGUAGCUGGAAUUCCCGGUGUAGCGGUGAAAUGCGUAGAUAUCGGGAGGAACCCUGAGGCGAAGGCGGGCUACUGGGCCGAUACUGACGCUGAGGCGCGAAAGCCAGGGGAGCGAACGGGAUAGAUACCCCGGUAGUCCUGGCC